This 407-nucleotide ribosomal RNA is filed under the name uncultured bacterium. RNAcentral describes it as "bacterial SSU rRNA". It matches the Rfam family "Bacterial small subunit ribosomal RNA", at positions 355 to 776 of the family's 1533-position model. The record is from RNAcentral.
UGGGGAAUAUUGCGCAAUGGGGGAAACCCUGACGCAGCAACGCCGCGUGAAGGAUGAAGGUUUUCGGAUCGUAAACUUCUUUGAUGAGGGAAGAAAAAAAUGACGGUACCUCAAAAACAAGCCACGGCUAACUACGUGCCAGCAGCCGCGGUAAUACGUAGGUGGCGAGCGUUGUCCGGAAUUACUGGGUGUAAAGGGCGUGUAGGCGGGAAUGUAAGUCAAAUGUGAAAUUCCGAGGCUCAACCUCGGAGCUGCAUCUGAAACUAUAUUUCUUGAGUGAUGGAGAGGAAAGUGGAAUUCCUAGUGUAGCGGUGAAAUGCGUAGAUAUUAGGAGGAACACCAGUGGCGAAGGCGACUUUCUGGACAUUAACUGACGCUGAGGCGCGAAAGCGUGGGGAGCAAACAGG